RNAcentral lists this ribosomal RNA (1142 nucleotides) under bacterium. Its description in RNAcentral is "bacterial SSU rRNA". It matches the Rfam family "Bacterial small subunit ribosomal RNA", at positions 51 to 1191 of the family's 1533-position model. The record is from RNAcentral.
CUACAUGCAGUCGAACGAUGAAUCUAGCUUGCUAGAUAUGAUUAGUGGCGGACGGGUGAGUAACAUUUAGGAAUCUACCUAGUAGUGGGGGAUAGCUCGGGGAAACUCGAAUUAAUACCGCANACGACCUACGGGUGAAAGGGGGCGCAAGCUCUUGCUAUUAGAUGAGCCUAAAUCAGAUUAGCUAGUUGGUGGGGUAAAGGCCCACCAAGGCGACGAUCUGUAACUGGUCUGAGAGGAUGAUCAGUCACACCGGAACUGAGACACGGUCCGGACUCCUACGGGAGGCAGCAGUGGGGAAUAUUGGACAAUGGGGGCAACCCUGAUCCAGCCAUGCCGCGUGUGUGAAGAAGGCCUUUUGGUUGUAAAGCACUUUAAGCAGGGAGGAGAGGCUAAUGGUUAAUACCCAUUAGAUUAGACGUUACCUGCAGAAUAAGCACCGGCUAACUCUGUGCCAGCAGCCGCGGUAAUACAGAGGGUGCGAGCGUUAAUCGGAAUUACUGGGCGUAAAGCGAGUGUAGGUGGCUCAUUAAGUCACAUGUGAAAUCCCCGGGCUUAACCUGGGAACUGCAUGUGAUACUGGUGGUGCUAGAAUAUGUGAGAGGGAAGUAGAAUUCCAGGUGUAGCGGUGAAAUGCGUAGAGAUCUGGAGGAAUACCGAUGGCGAAGGCAGCUUCCUGGCAUAAUAUUGACACUGAGAUUCGAAAGCGUGGGUAGCAAACAGGAUUAGAUACCCUGGUAGUCCACGCCGUAAACGAUGUCUACUAGCCGUUGGGGUCCUUGAGACUUUAGUGGCGCAGUUAACGCGAUAAGUAGACCGCCUGGGGGAGUACGGCCGCAAGGUUAAAACUCAAAUGAAUUGACGGGGGCCCGCACAAGCGGUGGAGCAUGUGGUUUAAUUCGAUGCAACGCGAAGAACCUUACCUGGUCUUGACAUAGUGAGAAUCCUGCAGAGAUGCGGGAGUGCCUUCGGGAAUUCACAUACAGGUGCUGCAUGGCUGUCGUCAGCUCGUGUCGUGAAAUGUUGGGUUAAGUCCCGCAACGAGGGCAACCCUUUUUCCUUAUUUGCCAGCGGGUUAAGCCGGGAACUUUAAGGAUACUGCCAGUGACAAACUGGAGGAAGGCGGGGGACAACUUCAAGUC